CAGUCGCCGCGGGAAUACGAAGGGUGCAAGCGUUACUCGGAAUUACUGGGCGUAAAGCGUGCGUAGGUGGUUGUUUAAGUCCGUUGUGAAAGCCCUGGGCUCAACCUGGGAAUUGCAGUGGAUACUGGGCAACUAGAGUGUGGUAGAGGAUAGUGGAAUUUCCGGUGUAGCAGUGAAAUGCGUAGAGAUCGGAAGGAACAUCUGUGGCGAAGGCGACUAUCUGGGCCAACACUGACACUGAGGCACGAAAGCGUGGGGAGCAAACAGGAUUAGAUACCCCUGUAGUCCAUGUCUCUUAUAC
RNAcentral lists this ribosomal RNA (301 nucleotides) under uncultured bacterium. Its description in RNAcentral is "partial 16S ribosomal RNA". It matches the Rfam family "Bacterial small subunit ribosomal RNA", at positions 509 to 807 of the family's 1533-position model. The record is from RNAcentral.